This 2059-nucleotide ribosomal RNA is filed under the name Synura sphagnicola. RNAcentral describes it as "partial large subunit ribosomal RNA". It matches the Rfam family "Eukaryotic large subunit ribosomal RNA", at positions 72 to 2202 of the family's 3401-position model. Lineage: Eukaryota; Synurophyceae; Synurales; Mallomonadaceae. The record is from RNAcentral.
GGAUUCCCUCAGUAACGGCGAGUGAAGCGGGAAAAGCUCAGACUUAUAAUCUUCGGAAAUGUAGUCUGUUGAGACCAAGCUAACUGACGACGGAGGUUAAAUCCCCUGGAAUGGGGUACAAGAUAGGGUGAAAGUCCCAUUCAAGCCUUUUGUCUGAGUGUACGGCUAGUCUUCAUUGAGUCGAGUUGCUUGGGAUUGCAGCUCAAAGUGGGUGGUAAAUUCCAUCUAAAGCUAAAUAUAGGUGAGAGACCGAUAGCAAACAAGUACCGUGAGGGAAAGAUGAAAAGAACUUUGAAAAGAGAGUUAAAGAGUACCUGAAAUUGCUAGAAUGGAACCGAUGGGAAGUAGUGUUGCGGGUGACAUUGUCCAGCUUGUUCACAAGAUGGAAAUUUUGUCACAUAGCAAGUCCUUCUCGAUUACUUCCGCCAAAGACCACCUCGAACUGUAUAGUUUGAGGAACCCUUGUGGGAUAGAUCGAAAUUGACGAAAUACUUCUCAUCAUCCCGUCUUGAAACACGGACCAAGGAGUCUAACAUGUCUGCAAGUGCUUGGAGUUUACCUCCGUGCGCGAAAUUAACGUAAAGUCGGACUUGUCCGAUGAGGUAGGAAAUCUGCACUAUCGACCGACCAUGCUCCUACGGGAAAAAGGUUUGAGUGUGAGCACACAUGUUGGGACCCGAAAGAUGGUGAACUAUGCUUGAGUAGGACGAAGCCAGGGGAAACUCUGGUGGAGGUCCGUCGCGAUUCUAACGUGCAAAUUGAUCGUCGAACUUGGGUAUAGGGGCGAAAGACUAAUCGAACCAUCUAGUAGCUGGUUCCUCCCGAAAUUUCCCUCAGGAUAGCUGCAACCGAACAGUUUUAUCAGGUAAAGCGAAUGAUUAGAGGCCUCAGGGGUGGAACGUCCUUGACCUAUUCUCAAACUUUAAAUGGGUAAGAACCCGGAGUUGCUUAAUUGAACUCUGCGGUCGAAUGACGGUUGCUAGUGGGCCAAUCUGGGUAAGCUAGAUUGGCGAUGCGGGAUGAACCGAACGCUGAGUUAAAGUGCCAAAAUGUCCGCUAACCUAGACCCCACAAAAGGUGUUGGUUCAUUAAGACAGCAGGACGGUGGCCAUGGAAGUCGGAAACCGCUAAGGAGUGUGUAACAACUCACCUGCCGAAUGAACUAGCCCUGAAAAUGGAUGGCGCUAAAGCGGAAUACUUAUACUCAGCCAACCCCGCAAGUACAAUGCGGUGUUGAGUAGGGGGGCGUGGAGCUUGCUGUGCAUUCUUUGGCGUGAGCCAGGAUGAAGCGAACUCUAGUGCAGAUCUUGGUAGCAGUAGCAAAUAUUCAAAUGAGAACUUUGAAGACUGACGUGGAGAAAGGUUCCAUGUGAACAGUAAUUGGACAUGGGUUAGUCGACCCUUAGAGAUAAGAAAAUUCUGUUUGAAAUAAACCCUUUCUCGGAAGGGUUUGCUUAUCGAAAGGGAAUCAGGUUAAUAUUCCUGAACCGAGACGUGGAUAUUGAGUGGUAACACAAGCAAAAUCGGAGACGUUGGCGAGAGCCCCGGGAAUAGUUCUCUUUUCUUCUUAACAACUCUGUAGACCUUGGAAUCGGAUUGCCCGGCGGUAAGGUUUACAGGUUGGAAAAGCGACAUAAUUUUUGUGUCGUCCGGUGCGCUCUCGACGACCCUUGAAAAUCCGGUAGCGUGAUUUAUUUACACCCUCGGUCGUACUCAUAACCGCCUCAGGUCUCCAAGGUGAGCAGCCUCUAGUCAAUAGAAUAAUGUAGAUAAGGGAAGUCGGCAAAAUAGAUCCGUAACCUCGGGAUAAGGAUUGGCUCUGAGGGUUGGGCCUAGGGGUCUCUGAAUCGAUAGAAGUGGCGGCUAGGAGAAGACUGCGGCUUCGCGGCUGCGGACUACACUUGGCUGCUGUCUUGAAGUUUGGAGAACGUCUUCGGACUUUCCCUAGUGCGUGGAACAACCGACUCAGAACUGGAGCGGACAAGGGGAAUCCGACUGUUUAAUUAAAACAAAGCAUUGCGAUGGCUGGAGACGGUGUUGACGCAAUGUGAUUUCUGCC